AACCAUUCUCACCUGCGGCUAGACCUGCGGAGGGAUCAUUACCGAGUUUACAACUCCCAAACCCCUGUGAACAUACCUAUACGUUGCCUCGGCGGAUCAGCCCGCGCCCCGUAAAAAGGGACGGCCCGCCCGAGGACCCCUAAACUCUGUUUUUAGUGGAACUUCUGAGUAAAACAAACAAAUAAAUCAAAACUUUCAACAACGGAUCU
This 209-nucleotide unclassified non-coding RNA is filed under the name soil metagenome. RNAcentral describes it as "partial contains 5.8S ribosomal RNA, internal transcribed spacer 2, and large subunit ribosomal RNA". The record is from RNAcentral.